UAUGAACGCUGGCGGCGUGCCUAAUACAUGCAAGUCGAGCGAACGGACGAGAAGCUUGCUUCUCUGAUGUUAGCGGCGGACGGGUGAGUAACACGUGGAUAACCUACCUAUAAGACUGGGAUAACUUCGGGAAACCGGAGCUAAUACCGGAUAAUAUUUUGAACCGCAUGGUUCAAAAGUGAAAGACGGUCUUGCUGUCACUUAUAGAUGGAUCCGCGCUGCAUUAGCUAGUUGGUAAGGUAACGGCUUACCAAGGCAACGAUGCAUAGCCGACCUGAGAGGGUGAUCGGCCACACUGGAACUGAGGCACGGUCCAGACUCCUACGGGAGGCAGCAGUAGGGAAUCUUCCGCAAUGGGCGAAAGCCUGACGGAGCAACGCCGCGUGAGUGAUGAAGGUCUUCGGAUCGUAAAACUCUGUUAUUAGGGAAGAACAUAUGUGUAAGUAACUGUGCACAUCUUGACGGUACCUAAUCAGAAAGCCACGGCUAACUACGUG
This 497-nucleotide ribosomal RNA is filed under the name uncultured bacterium. RNAcentral describes it as "partial 16S ribosomal RNA". It matches the Rfam family "Bacterial small subunit ribosomal RNA", at positions 29 to 507 of the family's 1533-position model. The record is from RNAcentral.